This is a long non-coding RNA of Cyprinus carpio carpio, 1547 nucleotides long. The record is from Ensembl. NCBI's taxonomy places the organism in Eukaryota, Metazoa, Chordata, Actinopteri, Cypriniformes, Cyprinidae.
GGAACAGUUGCCAGACUUCUUGUCACUAUCUUGUGUUUUCUCUGCCCUCAGAUAUCCCAACCUUCUUCCUGUGAUUUCCGAUUCGUUGUCUCCCCUCAUUACAAGUACCUGAACUCUGUGCAUUCUCCCCCAGUGAAUUUAUAUUCCCCAGUUUCAUUACCAAUCCAUUAUGUUAAUAAACCUCAUCUUAUACCUAGCUCUCCGUCUCCACCCUGGUUUGUGACAGAAGACUGGACCUCUACAGACACUUCCAUGGAUCCCCAGUCUCCAGCUCCUGCAGACCUUCUGCAGGAGCUGGUUAACACUCUCUGUGCCGCACUCAUGUCAGCAUCCAAUCCUCAGUCUGCCUCUGCCAGUCCCAUGGCAAUGUCUGCUUCCUAUGCGGGGGAACCAGCUGGAUGUGGUGGAUUUCUUUUGCAAGUCUCCAUGUACAUCAAUACACAACUGCAGAAAUUCUCAAUGGAACGUGCUAAGGAGGUAUUUGGCUCCACUACUGGUGAGAUCUCAGUCUCUGAUCAACUGCUGCAGUUGCGUCAGGGAGAGACAUCUACAAGAUUCCAUUGGACUGGAGAACUUCACGUUGAAAGCCAACCGCAUUUCACAACACCUAGCCGCCUGCCACACCGCCGAAGCCACUCAACAGUCUGGCUCUCCUGCCAGUGGCCCUCCAGUACCUGAGCCCAUGCAAGUGGAUUCUACCCGACUAUCUUCAGAUUAACGCAAUCUCAGGCUCGCGGCUGGACUAUGGCUCUAUUCUGCUGAACCUGACCAUGUCAUCCGAACCUGCCCUGUCAAGACCCCAUGUCCUAAGCCCUGGUCGACUCGGGCUCCUCGAGCAACUUCAUCUCGCGCAGCCUCCUAAGUUGUCUCCAGUUGCCUCGCUGUCAACAUGCCCAAGAGCUUCGAGUGGAGACUAUUCAAGGAAAACUGUUAAGCCGUGGGCAGGUGAGGUUUCAGGCACCUCCUAUAACUCUCAAAGUCGGGCUCUUCCAUGAAGAAGAAAUUCACUUCCUGGUACUGGAGGGACAUACUGAGGAUAUCGCCCUGGGAUGCCCCUGGCUCGUUCAACAUCAGAGAUCAGAUGGGAUUCAAGUUAGGUUAUUCGCUGGAGCUAGUUCUGCCACCAACACUGUCUCACUGCCCUUCUAUGUCUGCCACUCCAUUCACCGGUCUGUCAGGUUGCUUCCACGCUCAGAGUCCUGAGCUGAGUGUGGCUCAGAUCCCAUCUGAUUACGUGGCAUUCCAGGAUGUCUUCAAGCGAAAAUCCCCAAAGGUAGAGUGUACCCAUUGUCCAUAUUGGAGUGCAAAGCUAUGGAGGAAUACAUCCAGGGGGCUCUUAAUCAGCGAUCCGUCCAGCUCACCUGCUGCCUCAAGCUUCUUUGUGGGCAAGAAGGAUGGGGGCUUGCGGCCCUGCAUAGACUACAGAGCUCUAAACUCCCAGACGAUCAAACUCUCUUAUCCACUUCCCCUGAUCCCUGCUGCCAUUGAGGAACUCCUUGGAGCCCACAUCUUCUCCAAGCUGGACCUGCAGAGUGCCUAUAACCUUG